RNAcentral lists this long non-coding RNA (2523 nucleotides) under Homo sapiens (human). RNAcentral describes it as "HSALNT0148692". The record is from RNAcentral. Lineage: Eukaryota; Metazoa; Chordata; Mammalia; Primates; Hominidae.
GCGUGAGCCACCGUGCCCAGCCACAAUCGGCUUUUUAUACUUAAUAUCAUAAAUAUUUCCCAUGUGGCCAGGUGCAGUGGCUCACGCCUGUAAUCCCAGCACUUUGGGAGACCAAGGCAGGUGGAUUACCUGAGGUCGGGAAUUUGCGACCAGCCUGGCCAACAUGGUGAAAUCCCGUCUCUACUAAAAAUACAAAAAAUUAGCAGUGAGCGGUGGCGAGUGCCUGUAAUCCCAGCUAUUUGGGAGGCUGAGGCAGGAGAAUCUCUUGAACCCAGGAGGCAGAGGUUGCAGUGAACCGAGAUCGUGUCAUUGCACUCCAGCCUGGGCAACAAGAGCAAAAUUUCAUCUCAAAAAAAAAAAAAAAAAAAUGAAGGUUAAGAUGUAGAUUUUUUGUUAUGUGUAUUUUACCACAAUUAGAAAAAAAUGCUCUGAGGUUUUGUAGUUACCGGGCUGGGGCACCACCUAGAGAACGGUGCCCACUGGGCAUGGAGGGCAUAGAGCCCUGACUCCAGAAUUCCUGGUGUGCCCCCAGCUGCCCUAAGGGGUCCUGGCCCAUGCCUUCUCUUUGGGCCUCACCUGUCAAAUGCUAAGCAGAUCCAUGGAAUGGAAGAUGUCCACGCUUCCUCCUGGCCCUGAUGAGCUAAGAUGAGAAUUAGAACAAAAGCGUGUGCUUUUAAAAAAGUAGAUAGAGAAUUAAAAAUACAAUCAAAAAUCACACUCACUAUUCCAAGAUUAAAAACAUUCUUUAGAAACUGGGCUUAUUAGAUGACAUACUUCCUGCAUUGUGUGGGAGGGGAGGGGGCCGGGUCACCGGCGCUCUCCAUAGGGGGCAAGCAGGUGAAAUGAUUAUGAAAUAUGUCAAGAAAAUGGUCCUUUUUUCUCGCCAGGAGAUAAGGAAAGGUAAUUUGGUCUGUCAGUCGCGCACACAGAAGACGUCAUGGUCAACUGCAUUAAUACUGAAUACUUUGUCCAGAGUCACAGAGCUCAAAGAAAUUACAGAAUCUUUCUCCUGUGAAUUCUGGCACUACUCUCAGCAGGCCUUUUCCCACCUGAAUUCACAAGAGAGAUUAAUAAUAAAAGGCAGGGCUGACGGUGGGACCAGAGCUGCUUUUCCUGGGACCCCCUCCUCCAGCCCACCGGUUCAGCCUCAUCUCUUGCCACACCCUCCCCGGUCCGGCUUCAGCCCAACUCAAUCCCAGCUGUCCUGCUCUCUCUUCUUCCUACGGGCUCCUCUCCCAUAGACGCCAGUCAAAGCCCACCUGCCCAAGCCACCUCCUCUGGGACAUCUCUCUCCAGUCCCGAUCACCUCCCGUCUGACUGACGCUCCCUCUGCCCCCACGUGCUCACACUUCUUUUUGCAGUUGUUGUGAGGAUUGUGUGUCCCUAUCUCCCUUCCCCAAACACCCCAGACCUCCCCGAAGGACAGACUUGCCCAGCUGGCCUCUCCCACGGUGUCCAGCCCAGGGUCUGGCACUUCGCAGUGGAAGGGGUGAGUUCACGAGGCGUCUACAAGCUUUCUCUCUUCUGAUCUAAUAAAAGGGUAUCUGUGGUAGAUUCUUUCUUUUCUGUAUUUUUUGACCUGGCAGGGGUGAAGAUGUGUGGUUAGGGUUGGGAGUAGACAUUGGGAUGCUCUCUAAACCCGUUGUGAAGCUGUUAAAUUGCAAGAAACCAUCUUCCUCUCCACCCUCCAUUCCCACCCUAUUCCCACAGGGUGAACAGGAAGCGCCCACUCAGAGCCCUUAUUCCAAAGGUGGAAAAACCUCUUCCCUUUGCUGCUUUUGGGGACUCAUCAGUCUCUGGAACAAUUAAACCUCUUUCAAUGCAGUUAUAUUCCCUCAUGUAAUAAGUACUGCAUUAUUUUUAGACUGUUUUACCCAAUUAAUUUUAUUAUCAGUUAAUUAUGUAUUACCACCUUAAGAAAAUGAAUAUUUGCCCAGUUGCUUAAGCUAAAUCAUUAAAUAUGUAUGAAUUCCUUUCUUUAAAUGUACACCUGUUAUCUUUUACAGAUGCAGAAGACGUGUUUGGAGCCAUCUGUGCCUCUGAAACAGACCCCCAUACAAAAGUGCUGUCUUGGCCCUACGAGACAGCUCAUGUGGGGCUGGGAGGCACCUGGGAAGUGAGGCCCACAAACAUGUCAGAGAUCUCGGCCUCAGCACCAGAGUGACAUCAUUUGAGAAAGACUGUUCUAGUCCAACCCUGCAGUUUUAUAGAUGGAGAAACUGAAGCCCAGAGACGGAAAGUGAUACUGAAAGUGAUUUCAACAGCUGGACUCAGAGUUGGUCUGAGACUCCUGGUCUGACACCUUUGAAUUCGGUCAGGUGAGGAACUCGGGAAGGUCUGCAGGUGGCGCUGCUUCUAAAGGGCCUUCGGGACACUUGGGCUCAAUUUUCUCACUUAACCUUGGGUUUCUGAUUGAGAGUGGGAAACGCUGCUUUUCCUGAUCUCAAAGGCGAAGGUUCCACCAAAGUUGUUCACACAAGUGUUAUAAGAGAAAAAUUUUAAACAAAUUAAAAUGUGGUACAU